GGGGACGUUACGGAUUCGACAGGGAUGGUUCAAGCUUGAGCUGCGCGUCGGAGGUCUCGGCUCCGUCAUCAACGGAAGUUAUAUAAUAACUGGCAAACAACAAAAUUUAGCUUUCGCAGCGUAAGCUCGUAGCGCUCUGCCUGUCUAUCGCCCAUGUAGACAACGCAGGGCUCAACUUUAGUGGGAUACGGUUAGUGGUGCCGCUUGAGUCACUGACAAGAGAUUUCCAAGCUAGCGUGCAAGACGCCUGUUUGUCGGCAUAAUGCCACGCGAAUUGCAAGUAGACAGACUACACGCGUAGAAGUUUGAGUAUUGGAGUUUCUGGACGCGGGUUCGACUCCCGCCGUCUCCAUAA
RNAcentral lists this transfer-messenger RNA (355 nucleotides) under Ureibacillus antri. RNAcentral describes it as "Standard tmRNA". It matches the Rfam family "transfer-messenger RNA". From Rfam's summary of the family: Bacterial tmRNA, also known as 10Sa RNA or SsrA, is named for its dual tRNA and mRNA-like properties. Its role is to liberate the mRNA from a stalled ribosome. Lineage: Bacteria; Bacillati; Bacillota; Bacilli; Caryophanales; Caryophanaceae. The record is from RNAcentral. RNAcentral also lists the same sequence under 1 other name.